UGUUUCGGCUAGGGGGCCAUCCCGGCUUACCAACCCGAUGCAAACUGCGAAUACCGGAGAAUGUUAUCACGGGAGACACACGGCGGGUGCUAACGUCCGUCGUGAAGAGGGAAACAACCCAGACCGCCAGCUAAGGUCCCAAAGUCAUGGUUAAGUGGGAAACGAUGUGGGAAGGCCCAGACAGCCAGGAUGUUGGCUUAGAAGCAGCCAUCAUUUAAAGAAAGCGUAAUAGCUCACUGGUCGAGUCGGCCUGCGCGGAAGAUGUAACGGGGCUAAACCAUGCACCGAAGCUGCGGCAGCGAACGUAUCACCCAAGACAACUUUACGGAGUUGACGAUUGACGGAGCGAAGCGACGUCAAAGCGUUCAUUAAAGUCGAGUUGGCUUAGGGAUACGUUCGUUGGGUAGGGGAGCGUUCUGUAAGCCUGUGAAGGUGUGUCGUGAGGCAUGCUGGAGGUAUCAGAAGUGCGAAUGCUGACAUAAGUAACGAUAAAGCGGGUGAAAAGCCCGCUCGCCGGAAGACCAAGGGUUCCUGUCCAACGUUAAUCGGGGCAGGGUGAGUCGACCCCUAAGGCGAGGCCGAAAGGCGUAGUCGAUGGGAAACGGGUUAAUAUUCCCGUACUUGGUGUUACUGCGAAGGGGGGACGGAGAAGGCUAUGUUGGCCGGGCGACGGUUGUCCCGGUUUAAGCGUGUAGGUGUGUGUUCCAGGUAAAUCCGGUUCAC
Molecule: ribosomal RNA, 723 nt
Filed under: Salmonella enterica subsp. enterica serovar Typhimurium
Lineage: Bacteria; Pseudomonadati; Pseudomonadota; Gammaproteobacteria; Enterobacterales; Enterobacteriaceae
Description: partial 23S ribosomal RNA
Rfam family: Bacterial large subunit ribosomal RNA
Source: RNAcentral